This 253-nucleotide ribosomal RNA is filed under the name uncultured bacterium. RNAcentral's name for it is "partial 16S ribosomal RNA". It matches the Rfam family "Bacterial small subunit ribosomal RNA", at positions 524 to 776 of the family's 1533-position model. The record is from RNAcentral.
UACGUAGGGUGCAAGCGUUAAUCGGAAUUACUGGGCGUAAAGCGUGCGCAGGCGGUUGUGUAAGACAGGCGUGAAAUCCCCGGGCUCAACCUGGGAAUUGCGCUUGUGACUGCACGGCUGGAGUGCGGCAGAGGGGGAUGGAAUUCCGCGUGUAGCAGUGAAAUGCGUAGAUAUGCGGAGGAACACCGAUGGCGAAGGCAAUCCCCUGGGCCUGCACUGACGCUCAUGCACGAAAGCGUGGGGAGCAAACAGG